AGCACAGGUUUACCUGUGUGACUGCGUACCUUUUGUAUAAUGGGUCAGCGACUUAUAUUCUGUAGCAAGGUUAACCGUAUAGGGGAGCCGUAGGGAAACCGAGUCUUAACCGGGCGUUAAGUUGCAGGGUAUAGACCCGAAACCCGGUGAUCUAGCCAUGGGCAGGUUGAAGGUUGGGUAACACUAACUGGAGGACCGAACCGACUAAUGUUGAAAAAUUAGCGGAUGACCUGUGGCUGGGGGUGAAAGGCCAAUCAAACCGGGAGAUAGCUGGUUCUCCCCGAAAGCUAUUUAGGUAGCGCCUCGUGAAUUCAUCUCCGGGGGUAGAGCACUGUUUCGGCUAGGGGGCCAUCCCGGCUUACCAACCCGAUGCAAACUGCGAAUACCGGAGAAUGUUAUCACGGGAGACACACGGCGGGUGCUAACGUCCGUCGUGAAGAGGGAAACAACCCAGACCGCCAGCUAAGGUCCCAAAGUCAUGGUUAAGUGGGAAACGAUGUGGGAAGGCCCAGACAGCCAGGAUGUUGGCUUAGAAGCAGCCAUCAUUUAAAGAAAGCGUAAUAGCUCACUGGUCGAGUCGGCCUGCGCGGAAGAUGUAACGGGGCUAAACCAUGCACCGAAGCUGCGGCAGCGAACGUAUCACCCAAGACAACUUUACGGAGUUGACGAUUGACGGAGCGAAGCGACGUCAAAGCGUUCAUUAAAGUCGAGUUGGCUUAGGGAUACGUUCGUUGGGUAGGGGAGCGUUCUGUAAGCCUGUGAAGGUGUGUCGUGAGGCAUGCUGGAGGUAUCAGAAGUGCGAAUGCUGACAUAAGUAACGAUAAAGCGGGUGAAAAGCCCGCUCGCCGGAAGACCAAGGGUUCCUGUCCAACGUUAAUCGGGGCAGGGUGAGUCGACCCCUAAGGCGAGGCCGAAAGGCGUAGUCGAUGGGAAACGGGUUAAUAUUCCCGUACUUGGUGUUACUGCGAAGGGGGGACGGAGAAGGCUAUGUUGGCCGGGCGACGGUUGUCCCGGUUUAAGCGUGUAGGUGUGUGUUCCAGGUAAAUCCGGUU
Molecule: ribosomal RNA, 1052 nt
Filed under: Salmonella enterica subsp. enterica serovar Typhimurium
Lineage: Bacteria; Pseudomonadati; Pseudomonadota; Gammaproteobacteria; Enterobacterales; Enterobacteriaceae
Description: partial 23S ribosomal RNA
Rfam family: Bacterial large subunit ribosomal RNA
Source: RNAcentral